GGCUAUUGCUUCACUUAUAUAGGUGGGUGAUUCUCUGGGUGAAGAAUCAAUGUGGGAGUGACCAACAUUGGUUUCAUGUGAUGUUCUAUUCUCCACCAUAUCUCCAACUCCAAACCCAUCACCAUCGCCCUUGAUCAUGUUUCCACAUCCACCACAGCCACCACUCUUCACCAUGCUUCCACAUCCACCACAGCCACCACUCUUCACCAUGCUUCCACAUCCACCACAGCCGCCACUCUUCACCAUGCUUCCACAUCCACCACAACCACCACCACCGCAGCCUCCACAACCACCUCCACAGCCUCCACUCUUUACCAUGUUCCCGCAUCCACCACCACAGCCGCCACCACAGCCUCCACUUUUUACCAUGUUCCCGCAUCCACCACCACAGCCGCCACCACAGCCUCCACACUUUGAUGCCUCCACAUCCAACACCAGUUUACGUUCUAUAGAAGUAGACUGCUUGAUUUGUUUGGCUUCCACAUGGAACCCAUUAACCUUUUCCACAUUACCAUCCAACUCCUCCAAAUUUUCACCAUUAACCAUGAAGCCUCCAUACCCUUUAUUGUUA
Molecule: long non-coding RNA, 571 nt
Filed under: Manihot esculenta (cassava)
Lineage: Eukaryota; Viridiplantae; Streptophyta; Magnoliopsida; Malpighiales; Euphorbiaceae
Description: long non-coding RNA (MESC_LNC007503)
Source: RNAcentral